Molecule: ribosomal RNA, 450 nt
Filed under: uncultured bacterium
Lineage: Bacteria
Description: partial 16S ribosomal RNA
Rfam family: Bacterial small subunit ribosomal RNA
Source: RNAcentral
GUGGGGAAUAUUGGACAAUGGGCGCAAUCCUGAUCCAGCCAUACCGCGUGGGUGAAGAAGGCCUUCGGGUUGUAAAGCCCUUUUGUUGGGAAAGAAAUCCUGUCGGUUAAUACCUGGCGGGGAUGACGGUACCCAAAGAAUAAGCACCGGCUAACUUCGUGCCAGCAGCCGCGGUAAUACGAAGGGUGCAAGCGUUACUCGGAAUUACUGGGCGUAAAGCGUGCGUAGGUGGUGGUUUAAGUCCGUUGUGAAAGCCCUGGGCUCAACCUGGGAAUUGCAGUGGAUACUGGAUCACUAGAGUGUGGUAGAGGAUGGCGGAAUUCCCGGUGUAGCGGUGAAAUGCGUAGAGAUCGGGAGGAACAUCCGUGGCGAAGGCGGCCAUCUGGACCAGCACUGACACUGAGGCACGAAAGCGUGGGGAGCAAACAGGAUUAGAAACCCGAGUAGUCC